GGAGAACCUUCUUAGGAUUCUUGUUGGAGAUCCUUACUCUAUCUCCGUCCAUUCUUUCCAAUAUGAAUGGAUACCAAGGAUCCACGGAUAUGGUCUCC
Cordylochernes scorpioides is the source of this 98-nucleotide non-coding RNA. The record is from the annotation of a GenBank genome assembly. NCBI's taxonomy places the organism in Eukaryota, Metazoa, Arthropoda, Arachnida, Pseudoscorpiones, Chernetidae.